This 1521-nucleotide ribosomal RNA is filed under the name uncultured bacterium. Its description in RNAcentral is "bacterial SSU rRNA". It matches the Rfam family "Bacterial small subunit ribosomal RNA". The record is from RNAcentral.
AGAGUUUGAUCAUGGCUCAGAACGAACGUUGGCGGCGUGGCUUAGGCAUGCAAGUCGAACGAGAAAGUUUCUUUCGGGAAGCGGAGUAGAAGUGGCAAAGGGUGAGUAAUGAUUAGUUAACCUACCCCUAAAACUGGGAUAACUACCCGAAAGGGUGCUAAUACCGGAUGGUCUAUGAGGGUCGCAUGAUUUUCAUAGUAAAGGUGCUCGCAAGGGUAUCGAUUAGGGAGGGGAUUAAUUCCUAUUAGCUAGUUGGUGAGGUAACGGCUCUACCAAGGCAUUGAUGGGUAACCGAUCUGAGAGGAUGACCGGUCACACUGGGACUGAGACACUGCCCAGACUCCUACGGGAGGCUGCAGUCGCGAAUAUUCCGCAAUGGACGCAAGUCUGACGGAGCGACGCCGCGUGUGGGAUGAAGGCCUUAGGGUUGUAAACCACUGUCACACUUUAAGAAAGCAUUUAGGGUAACUCCUAGAUGUUGACAAAGGAGUGGAAGGAAGUCACGGCUAACUACGUGCCAGCAGCCGCGGUAAUACGUAGGUGGCAAACGUUGUUCGGAAUUACUGGGCAUAAAGAGUUUGUAGGCGGCUUAAUAAGUCAGGUGUGAAAUCCCGGGGCUCAACUUCGGAACGGCAUUUGAUACUGUUAGGCUAGAAUAACGGAGAGGUGAGUAGAAUUCAUGGUGUAGCGGUGAAAUGCGUUGAUAUCAUGGAGAAUACCAAUGGCGAAGGCAGCUCACUGGCCGAUUAUUGACGCUGAGAAACGAAAGCUAGGGUAGCGAAAGGGAUUAGAUACCCCUGUAGUCCUAGCCCUAAACGAUGUACAUUGUAUGGUGGGAAUCUUGCAUUUUCACUGUAGCAGCUAAUGCGUUAAAUGUACCGCCUGGGGAGUAUGGUCGCAAGGCUAAAACUCAAAGGAAUUGACGGGGGCUCACACAAGCGGUGGAGCAUGUUGUUUAAUUCGAAGAUACGCGAAGAACCUUACCCAGACUUGACAUGUACGGAUUAGAUUGCAGAAAUGUGAUUGACACCCUUUCUGGGUGGAACGUACACAGGUGUUGCAUGGCUGUCGUCAGCUCGUGUCGUGAGAUGUGAGGUUAAGUCCUUUAACGAGCGCAACCCCUAUCUUCUGUUACCAUCGCGUUAUGGCGGGGACUCUGGAGAGACUGCCGGUGUUAAACCGGAGGAAGGCGGGGACGACGUCAAGUCAUCAUGGCCCUUAUGUCUGGGGCUACAAACGUGCUACAAUGCGGAGUACAACGGGGUGCGAUACAGUAAUGUGGAGCAAAUCUCUAAAAACUUCGCCUAGUUCAGAUUGUGGUCUGAAACUCGACCACAUGAAGCCGGAAUCGCUAGUAAUCGCGGGUCAGCACGCCACGGUGAAUACGUUCCCGGGCCUUGUACACACCGCCCGUCACACCAUGGGAGUUGGCUUUACCUGAAGACGGUGCGCUAACCAGCAAUGGAGGCAGCCGGCCACGGUAGGGUCAGCGACUGGGGUGAAGUCGUAACAAGGUAGCCG